UAGGAAUGCAGUUCGAUCACAAAUCAAAUCCUCUAACUUAAAACUUCUAUUAUUUUGAGUAAUUAUAUGUGAGAUCUCAAUAGAAUAUAUGAGAAUGUAUGAGAUCUCACACGCUAGUAAUAGUAACUAGACUUAAACAUUUUGAACCGAUGGUUUGGGCUCAACGUAUGAGUUAUUAUUGCUAACUUAUUGGAUCGUUACAAUUGGUAUCAGAGUAUACCAGCCGGAUGUGGACCAGACGAGGAUGUCAUGGUCUAAAUAGGAGGAGUUUGUAACGCUCCAUAUCAGAUGAAAAAAAAAUUCUAAUUAGAACAUAUGUGGCAUCACAUGUUAGUAAUAAUAUACAAUGUAUGUUU
RNAcentral lists this long non-coding RNA (356 nucleotides) under Ananas comosus (pineapple). RNAcentral's name for it is "long non-coding RNA (ACOM_LNC037778)". Lineage: Eukaryota; Viridiplantae; Streptophyta; Magnoliopsida; Poales; Bromeliaceae. The record is from RNAcentral.